This 484-nucleotide ribosomal RNA is filed under the name uncultured bacterium. RNAcentral describes it as "partial 16S ribosomal RNA". It matches the Rfam family "Bacterial small subunit ribosomal RNA", at positions 28 to 523 of the family's 1533-position model. The record is from RNAcentral.
GAUGAACGCUGGCGGCGUGCUUAACACAUGCAAGUCGAACGGUGAAGCAGGAGCUUGCUCUUGUGGAUCAGUGGCGAACGGGUGAGUAACACGUGAGCAACCUGCCCCUGACUCUGGGAUAAGCGCUGGAAACGGCGUCUAAUACUGGAUAUGUGAUGUGACCGCAUGGUCUGCAUCUGGAAAGAAUUUCGGUUGGGGAUGGGCUCGCGGCCUAUCAGCUUGUUGGUGAGGUAAUGGCUCACCAAGGCGUCGACGGGUAGCCGGCCUGAGAGGGUGACCGGCCACACUGGGACUGAGACACGGCCCAGGCUCCUACGGGAGGCAGCAGUGGGGAAUAUUGCACAAUGGGCGGAAGCCUGAUGCAGCAACGCCGCGUGAGGGGUGACGGCCUUCGGGUUGUAAACCUCUUUUAGCAGGGAAGAAGCGAAGGUGACGGUACCUGCAGAAAAAGCACCGGCUAACUACGUGCCAGCCGCCGCAGUAA